Rosa rugosa (rugosa rose) is the source of this 768-nucleotide long non-coding RNA. RefSeq lists it as uncharacterized. NCBI's taxonomy places the organism in Eukaryota, Viridiplantae, Streptophyta, Magnoliopsida, Rosales, Rosaceae. The record is from RefSeq and is a predicted model, not a curated record. The transcript is spliced from 2 exons.
ACCUAUUCACACGGAUGUCUGUGUGUAAACCAAUUCACACAGAUUUCAGUGUCAGAGUUAAGAUUCUUUCUCACCUAUUCACACAGAUGUCUGUGUGUAAACCAAUUCACACAGAUUUCAAUGGCAGCGUUACAAUUCUUUCUCACCUAUUCACACGGACAUCUAUUACAAAAGCUUUUUUCAUACAAACAUCUGUGUCUAAAUGAAAUACACACUGAAAUCUGUGUGAAAUUUUGAAUGACAAUUGAUAUCACCGAGUCUUUAUUUAGACAAACAUCCGUGUGCUUUGUUAAUUUAGGGCAUAGAAAAUUGUGCUGCCACUUGCUUUGGGGUAAUAAAGAGAUGAUAAAAACCCAUUAUCACAUGAGAGGCCGGUCACCUGGUUUUUGUGAAGGUGAAGGUAGUCUGAGAGAGGAAAAAUACAAGAGAGAUGGAUCUGAAAUGGGGUUCUCUUUUUAUUCUCACACCCUCGGUUUCAACAUCAAGACUUCACUUUCUGGCUUUCCUACUUGAGGCAAACUACUUUGAUUCAUAGGUAUGCAACAUGAUGAAAAGAGAAAGAACAUCGCUUCAGUACAAUUAGCAGAAUAUGAAGAGAGUCUGAAGAAGAAUUUCGAUACUUUCCAGUUUCCAUAGCAUUUGUGGGGUAGUUGCUGGGAUAGACAAAAGAUUCAGAUGGACAAAAAAAUCAGAUUGCUGAUGUAAUUUUAUUUGUUAAUUCAUUUGCAGAAUUUUUCUUUAUUUUUUGAAUGCCAUCACUCUUCCACA